Molecule: ribosomal RNA, 497 nt
Filed under: uncultured bacterium
Lineage: Bacteria
Description: partial 16S ribosomal RNA
Rfam family: Bacterial small subunit ribosomal RNA
Source: RNAcentral
GAUGAACGCUGGCGGCGUGCCUAAUACAUGCAAGUCGAGCGAACGGACGAGAAGCUUGCUUCUCUGAUGUUAGCGGCGGACGGGUGAGUAACACGUGGAUAACCUACCUAUAAGACUGGGAUAACUUCGGGAAACCGGAGCUAAUACCGGAUAAUAUUUUGAACCGCAUGGUUCAAAAGUGAAAGACGGUCUUGCUGUCCCUUAUAGAUGGAUCCGCGCUGCAUUAGCUAGUUGGUACGGUAACGGCUUACCAAGGCAACGAUGCAUAGCCGACCUGAGAGGAUGAUCGGCCACACUGGAACUGAGACACGGUCCAGACUCCUACGGGAGGCAGCAGUAGGGAAUCUUCCGCAAAGGGCGAAAGCCUGACGGAGCAACGCCGCGUGAGUGAUGAAGGUCUUCGGAUCGUAAAACUCUGUUAUUAGGGAAGAACAUAUGUGUAAGUAACUGUGCACAUCUUGACGGUACCUAAUCAGAAAGCCACGGCUAACUACGUG